This 2674-nucleotide long non-coding RNA is filed under the name Harpegnathos saltator (Jerdon's jumping ant). RNAcentral's name for it is "uncharacterized LOC105186619". Lineage: Eukaryota; Metazoa; Arthropoda; Insecta; Hymenoptera; Formicidae. The record is from RNAcentral.
ACAAUCACAGUGCGGUAGAUCGAAGAACGUGCGUUAGUGGACGACGCGAUACCAAUGAGAGAUCGAUAUUUUAAAAGCCGACAAAAUAUAUUUUAAUCUUAAUCCAUUUGCAUCACAUCUUUAAAUACGCAACUAACUUUAGAAAUCGGAGACUCAACUUCAACUGACAGUGAGUCGGCCUGUAAAAGUGAACGUAUUAUUCCGCGGUUGGUGAUAAGUGAACGUCGUGGCUCGCGGAAUAUUUCUCGCGGCUGGUGAUAAGUGACAAUCAUUAUGUGCGGAUUAUUCCGCUUGCGAAUGCAAAUCGGUUAAUUAUAACGCAGCGAUGCACGUGUGUCUCGUGUUGGAGUCUCUGCGCCACUGUGAACACCCCACGUGAAAGUGCGAAGACGUACGAAAGCAAGCACAUGACCUUUCUGACGAUUCGCGCGGUACUCUGGAAGCAUCGAUUGUUUGAUCAUGCUCGGCCGUCCAGUGGUGGGGGAUUACGGUUAGCGAUGCGGUGACGUAGCUGUUUUUGCUCAUUGUUUUCAUACUCUCGCGCGUCUCGCACGUCUCUCGUGCGACUGUUUACAUCUCGCGCCGAGAGAAGAAGCGACGCACAUACCGCGACGUGGAGCACGUGUGUUCGGUGCGUCAGCUGUAAUUCACGUCGGGCGAUUAAAAUAUUUCGUUACGCUCUGAAGUAUCCAGUCGAGCUCGCGUUGGUAUCGCGUUAACUACCAUGUGCUUCUUCGAUCGUACUGUAUCUACGCGAGUGAACAUCCAGAGUGCUACAGCGGAGCAGCCGGGAGCCAGGAUACCGGCCCGAAAAGCCAGGACGAAGGACACCGAGAUGUGGUCAGCGAUGCAUUAUGUAUAUUGAGACCUUCCUGAAGGUUCAUGGCCGCCGAACGGUGGACGUACUUCCCCGGGGGUGCAGUUUCCGUGGGACUCGAGGAUGCCGCACCGUAGGAUCCGGUUCGGGCCAAGCAGGGUCGGCUCGAAGAUCUGCGGCGUAACGCGGUCGACCCUGAUCUUCUAGUAUUCCCAGGGCACCUCUCUCUCUCUCUCUCUCUCCGAGGCUUGGUUCCGGAGAAUCGCUGACUUCCGGGCUGAUUCCGCACUUACCGGGUUCCGGCAGCAGAGAGCAGACACCAAGCGGUUCCGAGCGGAUACCAAGGGGGUUGAGCGCGCGCGGCGUCUCGACAGAGCGGUGUUUCUCGGAUGUUUCUCGCGUGUAUCGCGCGAGGUAGAUGCAUUACGAGCGAUGAGCGAAAAGUCGGCGAACUCGGUAAUUCAGUGGCGCGCGCCGGCAACGAGAAAUCGCCGGCGCGAGAGGCAAGGCCGAAGCCGUGGCGAUCGAUACCCCCCGAUUUAAUCGACGGAAUAAUCGGCCGCUCGCGGAACUCGGUCGCCCCGCGCGAGCUCGUCGGAGCUCGACGCGCACCCCCUGAUUAAAGUCUUAGACUCCUGGGAGCCAAUUUGGUAAGGAUUCACGGUUCGAUGCUCCCGACGUAGGAUCGACGGAAAAUUAGUUGUACGAAUGUUUCCUUCUCUCCUUCGUAAAUGCGGACGGGCGGAAGGCCGAGCGGCGAGCGGAUUAAACGUUUAUCCCUUUCGAUGCGCGCGCGAUUUCAGGCAAUCUACGUGUCUGAGCGUAACGAGCCGUUAGUUAUCCGUAGAAAUGGACUCGUAAAAGUGACUCGAAAAAUCGUGUCGUACGUGAGUAGCCGGCCGCGGCUCCUUCGUAGCGGGUUAUAUCGCGGCUUGCUUAUCGGGCUCAGCGCACCAUGAAAUUGGCUACUUUCACCCGUCUGAGUGUAAUGUUUAAUCAAAGUAUUCGAAUUAUCGGGCUAUCUUCCUGGAUGCCGUAGAGAGCGAGUCGCUGUAGGAGCACACGCGACGAUGGGAUCCGAUAUCAAAGUUGCAAAAUUAGACUCGUCCGCUGCGACGGGGGUGGUGUAAUCCAAGAGCGUCGCGAGGCUCUCGCCUCUUAGCCGACGAGGGAUGAUGUCGCGCUCGCGUCGUCGACGCUGAGCCGAAAAAUACAGCACGACGGAAAGUCGGUCGAGGGUCUCGCGCAUCUCGAAACGAGGCCGGAUCGCCGCGCCGGCGGGAUGGAAAUAAUCGUCCCGCUGCCGACGACGCUGCCGAGAAGUUGGAUUCUGCGAGGAGAGGAAGAAGCACCUUCGAAAUUCGAGAAUUCGAGCCGGUGAAAAAAUGUGUUUGCUGUACUUCGCGCGAUUUAUUAUUACCCCGCAUUCCGAUUUCGCCAAAAUCUCUGCCUCGGCGUAUUAUUGUUAGUUGUUAGUUUUCUGAAUUUGAAUCCGCGUUAUCACGGUUUCACAAGUUUGAACCCGCAUUACCAGUUUUAUAAAUUUAAGCGGCAUGCUGGGCGCAUAGAUCGAUAGCUGGCGUGAAAACAAUCGGCCCCAUCGUCCGGGCAUCGUUCGCGCGUGCAUUCGGCGCGAGGCGCCGAUUGUGGCCACGAUUUUUAAUGUAACACGUGCGAAUGAUACACAAAGCGUUGCAAUAAGCGCGAUUAAAACGAUGGCUGUCACCGUCGAGUAUCUCGCGCGAGUGCGAAAUUUUUAUCAAAUAUGUAAUGUUUGUUAACGCGUGUGCAAUACAAUGUGUAUAUUCGUGUGAUAGAUUCUGUUUCGAGACUUAACUUCAAUAAUAUAUAUAUAUA